AAUGAACGCUGGCGGCAUGGAUUAGGCAUGCAAGUCGAACGGGACGCUUUCGGGCGUCUAGUGGCGAAAGGGUGAGUAACACGUGAGCAACCUGCCCCCGAGUCUGGAAUAAGCGAUGGAAACGUCGUCUAAUGCCGGAUGAGGACUGGAGCCUCCUGGCUCCAACUCCAAAGAUUUAUCGCUUGGGGAUGGGCUCGCGUCCCAUUAGCUUGUUGGUGAGGUAACGGCUCACCAAGGCUCUGACGGGUAGGUGGACUGAGAGGUUGGUCACCCACACUGGGACUGAGACACUGCCCAGACACCUACGGGUGGCUG
Molecule: ribosomal RNA, 315 nt
Filed under: uncultured Lentisphaerota bacterium
Lineage: Bacteria; Pseudomonadati; Lentisphaerota
Description: bacterial SSU rRNA
Rfam family: Bacterial small subunit ribosomal RNA
Source: RNAcentral